GCAAACUUGUCAAUCAAGAUGGGUGACUUCUUUUCUUUUGAUUUAACCGAUGUUUCAGCUGCUCCUUUGUCCCUCAAGACAACGGGUUUUUUGACAGGCGGGGGAGCUAUAGAAGGUUUCGAUAGUAACGCAGGUUGUGGUUUUGAAGGUUGUUGAGGUUUCAAAGGCUGAGGUUUCGAAGGUGGUUGGGGAGCACGAGUUUGAGAAACCACCUUCUCCCCUCCUCUAGUUUGAGACUUCUCCUCUUCAUUCUUGUUAUAACUAGGCUUUGGUACUUCCUUCACAACCUUCUGCACUGAUGCAACAGAGUCCCCUUUACGCCAUACACUCUUCAAGGUUUUAGACUUCAGAGAUGCUGCUGAAUUCACCGGUCUCUCAGUCCUAGGACUAGCACCAGCAUUAUUCCUUACUGGU
This 414-nucleotide long non-coding RNA is filed under the name Phaseolus vulgaris (common bean). Its description in RNAcentral is "long non-coding RNA (PVUL_LNC002915)". Lineage: Eukaryota; Viridiplantae; Streptophyta; Magnoliopsida; Fabales; Fabaceae. The record is from RNAcentral.